UGAGGAAGUAAAAGUCGUAACAAGGUCUCCGUUGGUGAACCAGCGGAGGGAUCAUUACAGAGUUAUCCAACUCCCAAACCCAUGUGAACAUAUCUCUUUGUUGCCUCGGCGCAAGCUACCCGGGACCUCGCGCCCCGGGCGGCCCGCCGGCGGACAAACCAAACUCUGUUAUCUUCGUUGAUUAUCUGAGUGUCUUAUUUAAUAAGUCAAAACUUUCAACAACGGAUCUCUUGGUUCUGGCAUCGAUGAAGAACGCAGCGAAAUGCGAUAAGUAAUGUGAAUUGCAGAAUUCAGUGAAUCAUCGAAUCUUUGAACGCACAUUGCGCCCAUUAGUAUUCUAGUGGGCAUGCCUGUUCGAGCGUCAUUUCAACCCCUAAGCACAGCUUAUUGUUGGGCGUCUACGUCUGUAGUGCCUCAAAGACAUUGGCGGAGCGGCAGCAGUCCUCUGAGCGUAGUAAUUCUUUAUCUCGCUUCUGUUAGGCGCUGCCCCCCCGGCCGUAAAACCCCCAAUUUUUUCUGGUUGACCUCGGAUCAGGUAGGAAUACCCGCUGAACUUAAGCAUAUCAAUA
Molecule: ribosomal RNA, 569 nt
Filed under: Nigrospora sp. P4E3
Lineage: Eukaryota; Fungi; Ascomycota; Sordariomycetes; Amphisphaeriales; Apiosporaceae
Description: eukaryotic LSU rRNA
Rfam family: 5.8S ribosomal RNA (bases 211-364)
Source: RNAcentral